This 69-nucleotide small RNA is filed under the name Mariniflexile fucanivorans. RNAcentral describes it as "Flavo-1 RNA". It matches the Rfam family "Flavo-1 RNA". Lineage: Bacteria; Pseudomonadati; Bacteroidota; Flavobacteriia; Flavobacteriales; Flavobacteriaceae. The record is from Rfam by way of RNAcentral.
UCGUGUUAAGGAUAGAAGCGGCAUCCUUUUGCUUUUGGGCAAAAGAUAUAGCGGAUAGCCUGACUUUUU